UACAGAGACCUCAAGCGUUACUCGGAUUCACUGGGCGUAAAGGGAGCGCAGGCGGUCAAAUGUGUCAGGUGUGAAAGCCCGAGGCUCAACUUCGGAUGUGCGCCUGAAACUGUUUGACUUGAGAUUCGGAGGGGUAAGCGGAAUUUCUGGUGUAGCGGUGAAAUGCAUAGAUAUCAGAAGGAACACCAACGGCGAAGGCAGCUUACUGGACGAAAUCUGACGCUCAGGCUCGAAAGUAUGGGGAGCAAAAAGG
Molecule: ribosomal RNA, 253 nt
Filed under: uncultured bacterium
Lineage: Bacteria
Description: partial 16S ribosomal RNA
Rfam family: Bacterial small subunit ribosomal RNA
Source: RNAcentral